RNAcentral lists this ribosomal RNA (301 nucleotides) under uncultured bacterium. Its description in RNAcentral is "partial 16S ribosomal RNA". It matches the Rfam family "Bacterial small subunit ribosomal RNA", at positions 509 to 809 of the family's 1533-position model. The record is from RNAcentral.
CAGUCGCCGCGGGAAUACAGAGGAUGCAAGCGUUAUCCGGAAUUAUUGGGCGUAAAGGGCUCGCAGGCGGUUUCUUAAGUCUGAUGUGAAAGCCCCCGGCUCAACCGGGGAGGGUCAUUGGAAACUGGGAAACUUGAGUGCAGAAGAGGAGAGUGGAAUUCCUAGUGUAGCGGUGAAAUGCGUAGAGAUUAGGAGGAACACCAGUGGCGAAGGUGGCUUUUUGGCCUGUAACUGACACUGAGGCGCGAAAGCGUGGGGAGCAAACAGGAUUAGAUACCCCCGUAGUCCCUGUCUCUUAUAA